AUCAUGGCUCAGAUUGAACGCUGGCGGCAUGCUUUACACAUGCAAGUCGAACGGUAACAGGUUAAGCUGACGAGUGGCGAACGGGUGAGUAAUGCAUCGGAACGUGCCCGAUCGUGGGGGAUAACGCAGCGAAAGCUGCGCUAAUACCGCAUACGAUCUGAGGAUGAAAGCGGGGGACCGUAAGGCCUCGCGCGAUCGGAGCGGCCGAUGUCAGAUUAGGUAGUUGGUGGGGUAAAGGCUCACCAAGCCGACGAUCUGUAGCUGGUCUGAGAGGACGACCAGCCACACUGGGACUGAGACACGGCCCAGACUCCUACGGGAGGCAGCAGUGGGGAAUUUUGGACAAUGGGCGCAAGCCUGAUCCAGCAAUGCCGCGUGCAGGAAGAAGGCCUUCGGGUUGUAAACUGCUUUUGUACGGAGCGAAAAGGCCCUCUCUAAUACAGGGGGUUCAUGACGGUACCGUAAGAAUAAGCACCGGCUAACUACGUG
This 489-nucleotide ribosomal RNA is filed under the name uncultured bacterium. Its description in RNAcentral is "bacterial SSU rRNA". It matches the Rfam family "Bacterial small subunit ribosomal RNA", at positions 16 to 507 of the family's 1533-position model. The record is from RNAcentral.